AGGUUAAGCUACAAAGGGCGCAUGGCGAAUGCCUUGGCACUAGGAGCCGAAGAAGGACGCGUUAAGCUGCGAUAAGCUUUGGGUAGGCGCAAAUAGCCAGUGAUCCAAAGAUUUCCGAAUGGGGGAACCCACAUAGUAACAACUAUGUACUGCAUACUGAAUAAAUAGGUAUGCAGGGGUACACCCGGGGAACUGAAACAUCUAAGUACCCGGAGGAAGAGAAAGAAACAUCGAUUUCCUAAGUAGCGGCGAGCGAAAGGGAAAGAGCCCAAACCCAGAUCUUUGAUCUGGGGGUUGAGGAUAGAUCACAAAUAUCGUAAUUCCUUAAUUGAAGAUAGCUGGAAAGCUGCUCCGCAGAAGGUAAUAGGCCUGUAAAUGAAAAGGAAAAAAAGUCAGAUCUAAUCCAGAGUACCACGAGACACGUGAAACCUUGUGGGAAACAGGGAGGACCACCUCCCAAGGCUAAAUACUACCUAGUGACCGAUAGUGAAGAAGUACCGUGAGGGAAAGGUGAAAAGAACCCCGGAAGGGGAGUGAAAUAGAACCUGAAACCGUGUGCCUACAACCGGUCGAAGCACUUUAUAUGUGUGACGGCGUGCUUUUUGUAGAACGAGCCAACGAGUUACGAUAUGUAGCAAGGUUAAGUACUUAAGGUACGGAGCCGAAGGGAAACCAAGUCUGAAUAGGGCGUAUAGUUGCAUGUCGUAGACCCGAAACCGGGUGACCUAUCCAUGGCCAGGAUGAAGCGGAAGUAAAAUUCCGUGGAGGUCCGAACCACGUUGGUGUUGAAAAACCAUGGGAUGAGCUGUGGAUAGCGGAGAAAUUCCAAUCGAACUCGGAGAUAGCUGGUUCUCCUCGAAAUAGCUUUAGGGCUAGCGUCGAUUAAUUGAGUAAUGGAGGUAGAGCACUGAAUGGGCUAGGGGCUGACAACAGUUACUGAACCCUAUCAAACUCCGAAUGCCAUAUACUUUUAUUUCGGCAGUCAGACUGCGAAUGAUAAGAUCCGUAGUCAAAAGGGAAACAGCCCAGACCAUCAGCUAAGGUCCCAAAGUGUAAGUUAAGUGGAAAAGGAUGUGGGAUUUCUAAGACAACUAGGAUGUUGGCUCAGAAGCAGCCACUCAUUCAAAGAGUGCGUAAUAGCUCACUAGUCAAGAGAUCCUGCGCCGAAGAUGUCCGGGGCUAAAACUUACCACCGAAGCUAUGGGUUUACACAAUUGUGUAAGCGGUAGAGGAGCUUUCUGUACUGGCUGAAGUCAUACCGUAAGGAGUGGUGGACGGUACAGAAGUGAGAAUGUUGGCAUGAGUAGCGAGAGUUAAGUGAGAAUCUUAACGGUCGAAAACCUAAGGUUUCCUGAGGAAGGCUCGUCCUCUCAGGGUUAGUCGGGACCUAAGCCGAGGCCGAAAGGCGUAGGUGAUGGACAAUCGGUUGAUAUUCCGAUACCACCAAUGGACGUUAUUAGAAAUGGGAUGACGCAGGAGGAUAAGAUGUGCACACUAUUGGAUGUGUGUCUAAGCAUUUAGGCGGAGCAAGCAGGCAAAUCCGUUUGCUCUUAACGCUGAGAUGUUAUGGGGAAGGGAAUUUAUUCCCGAAGUAUCUGAUUCCACGCUGCCAAGAAAAGUCUCUAUCGAGGAUAUUGGUGCCCGUACCGCAAACCGACACAGGUAGGUGAGGAGAGAAUCCUAAGACCAUCGGAAGAAUUGCUGUUAAGGAACUCGGCAAAUUGACCCCGUAACUUCGGGAGAAGGGGUGCCUACGAAAGUAGGUCGCAGAGAAUAGGCCCAAGCAACUGUUUAGCAAAAACACAGGUCUCUGCUAAAGCGAAAGCUGAUGUAUAGGGGCUGACGCCUGCCCGGUGCUGGAAGGUUAAGGGGAUUACUUAGCGCAAGCGAAGGUAUGAACUUAAGCCCCAGUAAACGGCGGCCGUAACUAUAACGGUCCUAAGGUAGC
Molecule: ribosomal RNA, 1948 nt
Filed under: Thermoplasmata archaeon
Lineage: Archaea; Methanobacteriati; Thermoplasmatota; Thermoplasmata
Description: partial 23S ribosomal RNA
Rfam family: Bacterial large subunit ribosomal RNA
Source: RNAcentral